Molecule: transfer RNA, 74 nt
Filed under: Larix sibirica
Lineage: Eukaryota; Viridiplantae; Streptophyta; Pinopsida; Pinales; Pinaceae
Description: tRNA-Ile
Source: RNAcentral
UAAGGCGUCAUCUAACUGGAAAGAUAUCCCCCUUUAUGGGGUGGAAAAUACCGGUUCCAAUCCGGUCGUCUUAG